Molecule: ribosomal RNA, 254 nt
Filed under: uncultured bacterium
Lineage: Bacteria
Description: partial 16S ribosomal RNA
Rfam family: Bacterial small subunit ribosomal RNA
Source: RNAcentral
CACGUAGGCACCAAGCGUUAUCCGGAUUUAUUGGGCGUAAAGAGCUCGUAGGCGGUUUGGUAUGUCGGGUGUGAAAACUUAGGGCUCAACCCUGAGAGGCCACUCGAUACUGCUAUGACUAGAGUACGGUAGGGGAGCGGGGAAUUCAUGGUGUAGCGGCGAAAUGCGCAGAUAUCAUGAGGAACACCAGCGGCGAAGGCGCCGCUCUGGGCCGUAACUGACGCUGAGGAGCGAAAGCAUGGGUAGCAAACAGG